GAUGAACGCUGGCGGCGUGCCUAAUACAUGCCAGUCGAGCGAACAGACGAGGAGCUUGCUCCUCUGACGUUAGCGGCGGACGGGUGAGUAACACGUGGAUAACCUACCUAUAAGACUGGGAUAACUUCGGGAAACCGGAGCUAAUACCGGAUAAUAUAUUGAACCGCAUGGUUCAAUAGUGAAAGACGGUUUUGCUGUCACUUAUAGAUGGAUCCGCGCCGCAUUAGAUAGUUGGUAAGGUAACGGCUUACCAAGGCGACGAUGCGUAGCCGACCUGAGAGAGUGAUCGGCCACACUGGAACUGAGACACGGUCCAGACUCCUACGGGAGGCAGCAGUAGGGAAUCUUCCGCAAUGGGCGAAAGCCUGACGGAGCAACGCCGCGUGAGUGAUGAAGGUCUUCGGAUCGUAAAACUCUGUUAUUAGGGAAGAACAAAUGUGUAAGUAACUAUGCACGUCUUGACGGUACCUAAUCAGAAAGCCACGGCUAACUACGUG
RNAcentral lists this ribosomal RNA (497 nucleotides) under uncultured bacterium. Its description in RNAcentral is "partial 16S ribosomal RNA". It matches the Rfam family "Bacterial small subunit ribosomal RNA", at positions 28 to 507 of the family's 1533-position model. The record is from RNAcentral.